AAGCGGCAACAGCUCAAAUUUGAAAUCUGGCUUCGGCCCGAGUUGUAAUUUGCAGAGGAUGUUUAUGGUGCGGUACCUUCCGAGUUCCCUGGAACGGGACGCCACAGAGGGUGAGAGCCCCGUCUGGUUGGAUACCAAACCUGUGUUAAACUCCUUCAACGAGUCGAGUAGUUUGGGAAUGCUGCUCUAAAUGGGAGGUAAAUCUCUUCUAAAGCUAAAUACUGGCCAGAGACCGAUAGCGCACAAGUAGAGUGAUCGAAAGAUGAAAAGCACCUUGAAAAGGGGGUUAAACAGUACGUGAAAUUGUUGAAAGGGAAGCGUUUAUGACCAGACUUGUGUCGUGUGGCUCAUCCGAGGUUCUCCCCGGUGCACUCCACGCGGCUCAGGCCAACAUCGGUUCUUGUUGGAGGAUAAGAACAGUAGGAACGUAGCUCUCCUUCGGGGGAGUGUUAUAGCCUAUUGUACGAUACUCUGACGGGGACCGAGGACCG
This 491-nucleotide ribosomal RNA is filed under the name Valsaceae sp. MU-213. Its description in RNAcentral is "eukaryotic LSU rRNA". It matches the Rfam family "Eukaryotic large subunit ribosomal RNA", at positions 96 to 599 of the family's 3401-position model. The record is from RNAcentral. Lineage: Eukaryota; Fungi; Ascomycota; Sordariomycetes; Diaporthales; Cytosporaceae.